This 499-nucleotide long non-coding RNA is filed under the name Vulpes vulpes (red fox). RNAcentral describes it as "lncRNA (ENSVVUG00000024776.1)". Lineage: Eukaryota; Metazoa; Chordata; Mammalia; Carnivora; Canidae. The record is from RNAcentral.
GUAACUCAGGAGGCUUAGGAGAAAUGAGAUCCCCAAGUUAUGUGGGAAUUCUGUCUAUAUCCCCUACGAGAUUGUGAUUGAGAGGUGGGACUAACUGCGCCUUACUCACUAUGGGGUUGUGAGUACCUAGAAUUUGCUACAAUGCGUGACACAUACUAUAUGUUCAUUACAAAAUUAUUGACUAAAUGAAUUGUAGAUAAUACUAGACCUGAAAAUUGUUUCUUCUAAUACAGCACUCUACCGUUAUAUUCAACUGGCUCCCAAUUUCCUUGAUAAAAGAUUUUUGAAAUGCACUGGAUUUUUUUCAUUAACCUAUUGCUUACUUGGAAGUGAGAGUUCCUUACAAUCUCGUUAUCUAAAUCCACAAGGCUUCUCUGACAGCAGCAAGCCAUGGCUUUCCACUUUCAGUAAAACUCAUAGGAAAAAAAAAAAAAAAACUUGGUAAGUUUUUUAUCUAAUCAAUUUCAUCAAGCCUCCUGUGCCAGUAGCCAUAAUCACA